Diceros bicornis minor is the source of this 6063-nucleotide long non-coding RNA. RefSeq lists it as uncharacterized. The record is from RefSeq and is a predicted model, not a curated record. Lineage: Eukaryota; Metazoa; Chordata; Mammalia; Perissodactyla; Rhinocerotidae. The transcript is spliced from 4 exons.
UAUAAUAAUAUCAUAAUAAUGAUGUUGAAGGGGAGGACAAUAUGCCACCCCAAAAUAUGCCUCUUUGGCAUAAGGAUUAUUUUGAGCUGAUUAUAUUUAACAAACAGCAGACAUAGGAAAAGCUUUGCAAAAUUGGUAGAAGUUAUCCUUUGUAAGAGACAUUUACAUUUGCUAAAGAAAAUUUCCAUUUGUAAGGGUGUCUCCCUCUCUGUACCAGGAAGAGAGGAAUGACUCAAUUGCCAAAAACUCUUAUCCAUGGAAAAGGCAAUGACUUAAAUUUGCAUAACAACCUUACCCUUGCUUACUGCGCUUUUCCUGGUCACCUCCCAUAAAUGCCACCCCUCCCCUAACAUCUUUUGUCUGUAGCUGGAGAUGUUAUUUAAGGUGGUGGCUUGGACAAUGUCCGGGAGUUCCUCAGUUUUCCUGGGUAUCACCCAUGUACACAGGAGGUAUACAUGUUAUUAAACUUCUGUUUGUUUUUCCCUUGUUAAUCUUUCUUUAUUACAGGAGAGUCUCAGCCAAGAACCUAGAAGGGUAGAGGGAAAAUUAUUUUUCCUCCUCCACAGUUUGGCGACCUACAAUGGGACCUGCUGAGACACCAUACUCACUCCGGAGCCUGCAGAUGGGAUCUUGGAAAACUGGCAGAAGCAGUGAAGGCAUUAUUCACAAUAGCCAAGACUUGGAAGCAACCUAAGUGUGCAUCAAGGGAUGACUGGAUAAAGAAGAAGUGGUAUAUAUACACAAUGGAAUACUACUCAGCCAUAAGAAAUGAUGAAAUCCAGCCAUUUGUGACAACAUGGAUGGACACUGAGGCCCUGCAAACUGAGUGUGAAAGACUCGAUAUAAACUUCAGAAGAAUCACCACAACAGCUCAUGUUUGGACAAUCUUCCAUGUCUGUUGCUGUAUGGGCCACUCAGAAAGUUUACCCGAACAUCGAUGACACCAUCAGAGACACUGAAACUUCAAAAGAUACUUCAACCCUGACAUCUAGACUGGAUGCCCUCAGGACUCAACUGGUUUAUAAUUUGCUCCAAAUUUUUAACCAUUGCUUUUCUUUUGUUUCCAUAGACAUGCCUCUUAUUAAAUAACCUGACUGCUUGCACAAUACAGGCCUAACUUUGGGAGCCUACUUGCAUCACAGCCUCCUGAAAUGAGAUGCAACUGUUUAACUGAACUGACGUAUUCUUAAGACUAAGAGACUAGGUUCAAUGAGAUAUGGAGCAAUCUAUCAACUUAGCUUCUGGAUUGUAAAGCUUGUUAGAAGUUUCAAAAGCAGGGCUGAAGGGGAGCAGAAUAUGCCACCCCAAAAUAUUCCUCUUUGGCGUAAGGAUUAUUUUGAACUGAUUAUUUUUAAGAAACAGCAGGCAUAGGAAAAGCUCUGAAAACUGAGUAGAAGUUACCCUUUGUAAAAAGACAUUUACAUUUGCUAAGGGAAAUCUCCAUUUCUAAGGAUGUCUAGCUCUCUGUACCAGGAAGAGGAUGACUCAAUUGCUAGAAACUCUUAUAAAUGGAGAAGACAAUGACUUAAAUCUGCAUAACAACCUGACCCUUUUUUACUGUGCUUUUCUUGUCACCUCCAAUAAUUGUCACCCCUUCCCCAACAUCUUUUGUCUUUAGCUGGAAACGUUAUUUAAGGUGGUGGCCUGGGCCAUUUUGGAGAAUUACUCAGUUUUCCUGAGUAUCUCCCACAUAUACUGAAGGUAUACAUGUUAUUAAACUUGUUUGUUUUUCUCUUGUUAAUCUGUCUUUUUAUUACAGGGGUGUCUCACUCAAGAACCUAGAAGGGUAGAGGGAAAAUUAUUUUUCCUCCCCCACAACAUCCAUUUUAUAUAUAACAAAACUGAAAUACAGAAUGCCCAAAGUCUUACAACUAAACGUUGAGUCAAAGUUAAAACCAAUGGAAUCUGUUUCUAGAACUUGUUCUUAACUAUACCUACAACCAUUUCAAAAUUUGAAGAUGUUUAUUUACUAUCAGAACAAAACACAUCAAAUUAAUCAACUAAGAGAUAUUUGGAGCAAUUAUGAAAAGUUUCCUACUGAUUAAUUCCACCAGUUCUUGACUAACAUCUCCUAGAAAAAUUGGCCCAAAUGUAACCACAGGACCUCCAGGACCAGUUCAACUGAUGCCAUCUUAUCAACUGAGUAAUUAAGAAACUGUCUUUCAGAAAAUUUGUGAAGUCACGUAGCCAGAGCAUGCACAGAAGAAGAAAUCUUGACCUGAAGUGACUGUGGAACCAAAGAUUCUCCUCCCCACAGAACCAAAGGACAUGUCUGGAACUUAAAAGUUGGACUCCUAUCAGAAGUGAGGGGUCCAUCAUUCAGGAGGACCCAGUGUUAAAAUUCCUUCCCCACCAUACCAUAAAAGUUUAGAACCUCAUCAUAAAUGUUUAGAACCUUACCAUAAAUGUUUAGAACCUUACCAUAAAUGCUUGAAGCCCACCAAUCAAAAUCUGUCCUGCCAGCAUUUCUGCAUGCCAGCCUGUUCUCCCUAACCUCGUAAAUUCUGCCCCAACUCCUGAAUCAGAGAGACAGAUCUGAGGGCACAGACGCCCUGCCUCCCUGCAGAUCAGUGUUACAGAAUGAAGCUGAUCUCUUUCCCCAAAGGCUGAUUCCAGCAUUAAUUGGCUUGUUUAUGUGCAUUGGGCAAGAGAACCUCAAUUUUGUGCAGUAACAAAAAUACACUAAUAGAUCAUUUUCUUCAGGGAAAAAAAGUUAUCUGCAGCUAGAUAAUCUAGAACUUCACAGUAUAACAUUCAAAAUUGGCUCAACCAAGAAGGUUUCAUCACUUCUAAUCUGAGUCAAAACAUUUGUGGAUUAUAGUCUCAUGUAAAAUAAUCAAACAAUAAAUUUUCUAAAAUUUAAGAAUUGCAAUAUAUGGAAGACAGAAAUUAUAAGAGAGUUCCAAACUAUAUCCAAAGAUUGACUUCAGGAAAUAAGUUCUUAAAUUAAAGAAAGUAUCCUCAUAACUCCUUUUCCUUUUUCUAUCUCAGAGCCCCACUUCACAAUACCUAAAAUUAUAAAAGAUUGCUAACAGCUUUUAAUAGUAAGCUAUGGAUAUCCAGCUGGCAAUUAGAUCAAAGCUCAAUUUUUAGAAUUUCUUUUCUCCUUCUCUACUUGUCCUCUGUCAUUAAAUACUAUCCCCUCUAUUUAUUUUUUCUUUAUUUUUUCCUGAUAUAUUUCAACUUUGCUCAGUAUCAAGAAAGAAAUUUUCAAAAAGGAAAUGGGGUACUUCCAGGUAAGUUAAAAGCUUUGUUCCUUAUUUCCCAUUGAUAGACCAAUGACAUAAAAAAACAUGUGAAAAGGCACUUCUUGAGAAUAGAAAUCAAUGCUAAACAUCAACCAUAAGCAAGAAAUUUAGAAUUUUUUAAAAAGGGUAAUAAAUUAUGUAUAAAAUGCUUUAUUAUAAAUAAUGAUCAUAGUUUUGAAUAAACAGAAGACUGAUUUUUUAAAUAUAGCUAAGUUUGGGAUGGUUUUCAUCUGUUUUUCUACUUUUUUAUAUUAAUCCAAUGUUUUUAAUGAGCACACUCUACUUAUAAAACUAAAACAAAGACUCACAUGUUGUUUUUGCACCUGCCUCAUGCACAUAUUUCUUAGAGAUUGUAUGCUUCCUGGCAGGCACCAGAUUCUAUUCAUCCUUAUUGUGCCUCCCUAAAACGUAGGUAAUAAUCAAUAAAUUUUUCUGAAUGAAUGAAUGAAUUUCAUAUGUAUGUCCACAAAAGAAUAUACUCUGCAUAAAUGUAGAAUGUCUUUAAAACUCUAAAUUCUUUUUUUCUCAUUCAUUCAAUGAUAACUCAGAAAUUAAAUUUUGAAUUACUUCUUAAAGUAAAUAUGGAUUUGAAUAUGUAAAACAUUGAUCUAAACAUUGCUAUGUCUGUUGCAAUAAUAAAGGCUAAUAGAAGUAGAAUUUUCAAUGAAUCUCAUUAAUUUUAUCAAUGUCUACUUGAGGCCAACUUUAUUCACAGCUUUUAGUGGUUCUGACAAAUGUCAACAGAAGCAAAGUACUACAUUUUCUAAAAUUUACUUUAGAAUACUUCAGCAUAAACUGUGUGAUAGUUAUGUAGAUGUGACUAAAUUUUUAUUUAUCCUGUAGUGUGGUUAGGUAAUAUUUGAAAGUUUUUAAUCAAAACUCUUCCAAAUUUCUAAUUCAGUUAUCUUUAUUUUUAAAAAUAUCAGAUGGCUUGUCAAUCGCCAUCAUAGAUGUUAGAAGAAUGCUCCAUAGUAAAACAAGUGUUCAAGAUACAGGUGGAUUUGCUAGAAAUAUUUUUCCAGACAUAAGCACCCUUUCAUGAACAGAGCAUAAAAAUCAAGCCAGCCUUACAGCCUACAGACAAUUUCAUUGCACUCCAGGCUUAGGAUUCCACUCAUUCCUGCAAUGAGAGUUUUUUCCUGACUCCAGUUGGAAGGGUAGCUGAAUCCAGCAGCUAAAACAUCAUCUCAUCUGCCUCUAGGAAGCUUUCUUGCAGAGUUCUAUCACAAUGCCUCAAAGGUUUAACAGCUGGGACACCAUUGAGAUGACAUAAUAGAGGAUUUAACCUUGUGCGUAGUGUGUGCAUGAGUAAGAGCACACAUGUGUAUGACCACGUGUAUACAUUUGAUGGUUAAUAAAUAUUUGUUCAUCUGGGAAACUUCAGCCUAAGACUGUCCUGGUCACAUAGCACCUGGUAGCCAGGCUGAGAAGAUCUAAAACUCUCAUCUUGCUCUAAGUUUUGGAAACUACAAAUAUCUACAAAAAGAACCUAAUGAUGAAAAAAUGAACAAAUUGUGAAUUAGGUCAGGAUGUAAACAUCAAAAAAUUAUUAUGCUGUAAACUUUCUAUAUGUAGGCAUUUUCAGAAAAGAUACUUUAUAAAUCUGAGGAAGGUAUACACCAUUAACCUUAACCUAAGGCCAUUUCGAAGGCUUUAAGGAAUGAAUUCCAACAAAUGGCACUCAAGUAUGGUUGUAUUUUUCUUUAAUCGUCAAAAGCCACUUAAUGAUUUUAUUGUGACUAGGAGGGUCAACAUCAUAAUCAACUGCUAGUGGAUAUUAAGCACAUGAAGAAGACACUAAUAGAUUCUUGCAGGAAAGACAAGGCUGUAUGAUGUAGGUAACUAGUCCCUAGUUGUGGGGAAUCUCACUUCUGAUUUUCUGUCUAUACUAUGUAAUAAUCAUGUGUUAUUUUUCCAUCUUUUCUGUUUUGUCACUGCAUUUCUUUUCCAUUCUUUGAGGCAAAAGCAUCCAGGGCCAUUUACUAGUUAAAAACGAUAAUGGCCAUAUAGUAACGCUAAAACUUUAGACUUAUUUUCUCUUCAAAUUUGUAGUUCAUAAAAAUAUACCACUUGUCAAUUCAAAACUUUCAGGUGAAACAUAAUGAAGCAAACCAACAGUGAUCAAUGAGAUCUGGGGCAUAUUAAGGAAACAAUAUUUAUGCAUAAUCACAGUGUAGAAAUUGUCAAAAGUGGGAUUUCUUUAUUUGCAUUCAUAAAAAAGGUAUAGGUAUUUUUGUUGCAAAUAGUCUAAUAGAUGUAUGAAUGCCUAGGUAUGUUAGAAAUUUUAAGCUUGUCACUAUACAAAUCCUAAAAAGCAAUCUUAUUCUAUUCAAGUCGUAUUAUACAAAGUAUGAUUUCUUGGUACUAUGGAGAAAUUUAUAAAUAGCUUAUAAUUUCCUUUGGCUCAUCAUCAUUCAGAUGAUGGCAUUAGAGCUGACAAAGUUGACUGAUCAUCCUUUGUAGCUUUAUGAGAAAAAUGAAUGCAGAAUCCUGGGCUGAUGAACUAGAUCUCUAAACCCUUCAUAUCUUACACUCACUUUCCAUAAAUAAGAAAUAAGAGCAAGAAAACAACAUCAGUUCAUAAGUCAUUCUGAACUUAUUAUCUUCUUUUAUUUGUAUAAUGACCAGUUAGAUACAAUUUUCUGGGGUAGAGUUAUAUAGCUUACUUAAAUACAUGUGUUAACAAUAUAAAAUGAUCUUAUGCCCUUUGACUCCAAUACUAAUAAUAUUUUUUAAUUGUACUCAGUUUUUAUCACAUACCACUUUUAAUUAGUUUUUAUUUAUUUUACAAUAAAAACAUAUCCCUGUAAAAUUC